Xyrichtys novacula (pearly razorfish) is the source of this 1225-nucleotide non-coding RNA. The record is from the annotation of a GenBank genome assembly. Lineage: Eukaryota; Metazoa; Chordata; Actinopteri; Labriformes; Labridae.
AGAGAGAGAGAGAGAGAGAGAGAGAGAGAGAGAGAGAGAGAGAGAGAGAGAGAGAGAGAGAGAGAGAGAGAGAGAGAGAGAGAGAGAGAGAGAGAGAGAGAGAGAGAGAGAGAGAGAGAGAGAGAGAGAGAGAGAGAGAGAGAGAGAGAGAGAGAGAGAGAGAGAGAGAGAGAGAGAGAGAGAGAGAGAGAGAGAGAGAGAGAGAGAGAGAGAGAGAGAGAGAGAGAGAGAGAGAGAGAGAGAGAGAGAGAGAGAGAGAGAGAGAGAGAGAGAGAGAGAGAGAGAGAGAGAGAGAGAGAGAGAGAGAGAGAGAGAGAGAGAGAGAGAGAGAGCUGAUGUCUGCGGCGUCUCUGAGUCAGUGUGGAGCCGUCUGUGCUCGCUAACAGGAAAGCUGAAGUGCGUCCGUUUGGGUGCGUUUCCGUAUUUUCACCAGCGUGUCGUGCGGAGAUUGUUCGCUCCGUCUGAUUGGUCAGGUUUGGGUGCGCUCCCUAUAAUCACCAGCGUGUCCAGCAGACUGCUUGGCGUAGUUUAAACAAAGAAGAAGAAGAAACAGCUUCAGUGGUGGUGGUCAUGGCGGACGCAGAGAUUAGCGGGAGUACCGAACAAACGGAGGCGGCCUGAUCCACCGACACGAGGAAGAGGAGGAGGAACGUGUUCGGAAAAAGGGCGUGAGUCGAGACAUCGGUUUUCUGGAGAUUCUAUAGAUUCAGAAAAUCCGACAAUGAUCCAAAAACAAAACUAUCAAAGAUAAGGUGACCAGACGUCCAUGAUCUCCGAAUUGGAUGACCUGUCCCCGGCUAACGCUGUCUCCGAAAAUGUCUCCGAUUUAAGCGUUUCAUGAAUGAGAACAAAAAUGUUGUGUGUGGGCUCGAACACCGGUUAUUACAGUAGGUAAUGACCGUUGUUCUAACCGGUUCUUCAGUGUCAGAAGGUCCGACUAAGAGUCUGAAGCUGGUGGAAGAAGAAAGGAGGAGCUCUGACUUUGUUAAACUCAGAUCACUGUGGAGGAGAAGUUCUGUUGUCCAGAUACUGACCUGUUGGAAGCUGAUCUUCACCCACAUCAUGUUCUCAGGAGUUCAGGAGUUCUUCAAACAGUGGUGGCUGACGAGAUCAGGCGUCAGCCGUCCUGCUGACAGCUGAUUGGCUCAAACCGAGGUGAGUAACAGACGUUCAACUGUAACCUACAUUCUUGUUUUCAGAAUCAUGAGAGACCAUCAAGCUGGGA